CUCAGGUGGGAUUCCUUGUUCCCUAGAACUUCUCUUAACGCCAAAUGCAUUGUCGGGUCUGAUCAUACCCCCUUGAUUCUUGACGAUGGUUCCAUUUGCACGCGACCUCUGGCUAGAUUUCAAUUUGAUGCUUCAUGGUUGUCGGUGGAUGGCUUUGCUGAUAUGGCUGCAGCGAAGAUUUCCCCAUCCCUCUCGUCCAACUCCCACUCGUUUGGGCCUCUGGAUGAUUGGCACUCGUGCUCCUAUGACUUACGUAAGUUUCUUAGAGGUUGGUCUCGUAAUCGUGCGGCGGAGGAUCGUCGCACCAAAGCUUUUCUCGAAAACCAGAUCUUGGAGCUGGAUCGUGCUGCUGAUUCUACUGGGCUCUCUGACGAUGGCUGGGCCGUUCGUUAUAAUCUUGAGGUUGCUUUAAUGCAGUUGCACCACCAGGCCGAGAUUUAUUGGCGCCAGCGGGGCACUCUUAACUGGACUCUUAAAGGGGACUCUCCUACAGCCUACUUUUUUGCGAUUGCGAACGGUAGGCGUAGGUGCUGUGAUAUUAAUAGCCUUCUGAUUAAUGGUGUGCGUUCUUCUGAUCAGUCUGUUAUUAUGGCUCAUGUGGUGGAUUUCUUUUCUUUGUUGUUA
This 624-nucleotide ribosomal RNA is filed under the name Triticum aestivum (bread wheat). RNAcentral's name for it is "partial small subunit ribosomal RNA". The record is from RNAcentral. Lineage: Eukaryota; Viridiplantae; Streptophyta; Magnoliopsida; Poales; Poaceae.